GGCAGUAGAGGUAGUACUACUUUUAGAAUUUCUACUAUCCCAUUCUCCGGCUUUUUAUCCGUACCCUCCGUGCUGCCUGAAUCUUGUUGGCAGAGUGGUGCAUUUUCAAGUUCGAUCUCAACAACUUUUGACUUGUUGGUAUCUGGUACCGCAAUCUCACCACAGGUCAAUCUUGAGGUAGCCGCUCUAAUAGCUUUAACUAUAUGACCUCCCAAGGACUUGAUAUGAAUAAUUUCACCAUCCGUGUUAUGUGUAUAAAACCUGUUGCCAAAUCUGAAGACUACAAUCGACACUAUCAUGGCAAUCGAGGGAAUGGCGAAACCUAAUCCCCAUCCUAACGUGUCCUGUAUGUACGACAUAAUGGACACUCCAAGUAGACUGCCACAACAUAUGCCAAAAUACCACCAGUGGAAAAAUGUGCUCUUUUUCUUGGAGCUCUGGUCAUUCUUCGUACAGGGCAAUUCUUCUUCGUCAUCCAAUUGGUCCGCUGCAAAAGCUUGUAAGGACGGGUUGUAACCUGCUUGGCCUAGUGAAAUUAAAUGCAGAGACCAUGAUAACGAUGAAGAGAAGCCCGACUUGUCCAAGGAUGUCCAUGGCCAUUGUAAUGCCAAUGAUGUCAAAGCUAAAAGACCGGCAAAAUAUAGAGAAGAAGAAGCCAAUACAGUGGUGUAGCGGUCCAAAUAAGAAUCAGCUAGUGGAGCAACCAGCAAUGGCAACAUAGAAGUAAUACCACACCAAUUGUUAACCAUCUUUGCUGCAGCUGAAUUGCUCAUUUUGGCCACGUCUGUUAG
RNAcentral lists this unclassified non-coding RNA (791 nucleotides) under Hevea brasiliensis (rubber tree). Lineage: Eukaryota; Viridiplantae; Streptophyta; Magnoliopsida; Malpighiales; Euphorbiaceae. The record is from RNAcentral.